GACGAACGCUGGCGGCGUGCUUAACACAUGCAAGUCGAACGGACAUGCCCUGCUUUUGUGGGGUGCUCGAGUGGCGAACGGGUGAGUAACCCGUGAGUAACCUGCCCUUCACUUUGGGAUAACUUCAGGCAACUGGGGCUCAUACCGGAUAGGAGCUCCUGCUGCAGGGUGGGGGUGGGUAGGUUUCGGCGGUUGGGGAUGGACUCGCGGCUGAUCAGCUUGUUGGUGGGGUAGUGGCUUACCAAGGCUUUCACGGGUAGCCGGCCUGCGGGGGUGAGCGGCCACAUUGGGACUGAGAUAAGGCACAGACUCGUACGGGAGGCAGCAGAGGGGAAGAUUGCAUAAGGGGAGGAAGCCUGAUGCAGCAACGCCGCGUGCGGGAUGACGGCAAUCGGGUUGGAUUCCGCUGUCGCCUGUGACGAAGCGUUAGUGACGGUAACGGGUAAAGAAGCACCGGCUAACUACGUG
This 468-nucleotide ribosomal RNA is filed under the name uncultured bacterium. RNAcentral's name for it is "partial 16S ribosomal RNA". It matches the Rfam family "Bacterial small subunit ribosomal RNA", at positions 28 to 507 of the family's 1533-position model. The record is from RNAcentral.